RNAcentral lists this ribosomal RNA (497 nucleotides) under uncultured bacterium. RNAcentral describes it as "partial 16S ribosomal RNA". It matches the Rfam family "Bacterial small subunit ribosomal RNA", at positions 28 to 507 of the family's 1533-position model. The record is from RNAcentral.
GAUGAACGCUGGCGGCGUGCCUAAUACAUGCAAGUCGAGCGAACGGACGAGAAGCUUGCGUCUCUGAGGGUAGCGGCGGACGGGUGAGUAACGCGUGGAUAACCUACCUAUAAUACGGGGGGGACUUCGGGAAACCGGAGAUAAUACUGGAGAAUAUGUCGAACCGCAGGGUUCAAAAGUGAAAGACGGUCUGCCCGUCAGUUAGAGAUGGAUCCGCGCUGCAUUAGCUAGUUGGUAAGGUAACGGCUUACCAAGGCAACGAUGCAUAGCCGACCUGAGAGGGUGAUCAGCCACACUGGAACUGAGACACGGUCCAGACUCCUACGGGAGGCAGCAGUAGGGAAUCUUCCGCAAUGGGCGAAAGCCUGACGGAGCAACGCCGCGUGAGUGAUGAAGGUCUUCGGAUCGUAAAACUCUGUUGUUAGGGAAGAACAUAUGUGUAAGUAACUGUGCCCAUCUUGACGGUACCUAAUCAGAAAGCCCCGGCUAACUACGUG